CCCCUCUCAGGGUCGUACCUGGAGAGUUUCCAGUCCCCUACCAGUCUCGGCUACGGGAGGGAGAGUCAAGCAGAGGCCUGUCCGUUCCAUUCCUGGCUUGGCCAGUGGCUAGCGACUGGUAGGCCAUCUGCUACAAGU
RNAcentral lists this small nucleolar RNA (138 nucleotides) under Ornithorhynchus anatinus (platypus). The record is from RNAcentral. Lineage: Eukaryota; Metazoa; Chordata; Mammalia; Monotremata; Ornithorhynchidae.